CCUACGGGUGGCAGCAGUGAGGAAUAUUGGUCAAUGGGCGCGAGCCUGAACCAGCCAAGUCGCGUGAGGGAAGACGGUCCUAUGGAUUGUACACCUCUUUUGUCGGGGUGCAAAAGACGCCACGCGUGGCGUUCCGAGAGUACCCGAAGACAAAGCCUCGGCUAACUCCGUGCCAGCAGCCGUGGUAAUACGGCGGAUGCGAGCGUUAUCCGGAUUUAUUGGGUUAAAAGGGUGCGCAGGCGGAAGAUCAAGUCAGCGGUAACAUUGAGGGGCUCAACCUCUUCGAGCAGUUGAAACUGGUGUUCUUGAGUGAGCGAGAAGUAUGCGGAAUGCGUGGUGUAGCGGUGAAAUGCAUAGAGAUCACGCAGAACUCUGAUUGCGAAGGCAGCAUACCGGCGCUCAACUGACGCUCAUGCACGAAAGUGUGGGUAUCGAACAGGAUUAGAUACCCCUGUAGUC
Molecule: ribosomal RNA, 459 nt
Filed under: uncultured bacterium
Lineage: Bacteria
Description: partial 16S ribosomal RNA
Rfam family: Bacterial small subunit ribosomal RNA
Source: RNAcentral